This 253-nucleotide ribosomal RNA is filed under the name uncultured bacterium. RNAcentral's name for it is "partial 16S ribosomal RNA". It matches the Rfam family "Bacterial small subunit ribosomal RNA", at positions 524 to 776 of the family's 1533-position model. The record is from RNAcentral.
UACGGGGGGGGCAAGCGUUGUUCGGAAUUACUGGGCGUAAAGGGCUCGUAGGCGGCCAACUAAGUCAGACGUGAAAUCCCUCGGCUUAACCGGGGAACUGCGUCUGAUACUGGAUGGCUCGAGUUUGGGAGAGGGAUGCGGAAUUCCAGGUGUAGCGGUGAAAUGCGUAGAUAUCUGGAGGAACACCGGUGGCGAAGGCGGCAUCCUGGACCAACACUGAGGCUGAUGAGCGAAAGCCAGGGGAGCAAACGGG